RNAcentral lists this ribosomal RNA (489 nucleotides) under uncultured bacterium. RNAcentral describes it as "partial 16S ribosomal RNA". It matches the Rfam family "Bacterial small subunit ribosomal RNA", at positions 28 to 523 of the family's 1533-position model. The record is from RNAcentral.
GACGAACGCUGGCGGCGUGCUUAACACAUGCAAGUCGAGCGGAAAGGCCCUUUCGGGGGUACUCGAGCGGCGAACGGGUGAGUAACACGUGAGUAAUCUGCCCUUGGCUUUGGGAUAACCACCGGAAACGGUGGCUAAUACCGGAUAUGACGCGCCCCGGCAUCGGGGUGUGUGGAAAGUUUUUUCGGCCAGGGAUGUGCUCGCGGCCUAUCAGCGUGUUGGUGGGGUAAUGGCCUACCAAGGCUUCGACGGGUAGCCGGCCUGAGAGGGUGACCGGCCACACUGGGACUGAGACACGGCCCAGACUCCUACGGGAGGCAGCAGUGGGGAAUAUUGGACAAUGGGCGGAAGCCUGAUCCAGCAACGCCGCGUGAGGGAUGACGGCCUUCGGGUUGUAAACCUCUCUCAGUACCGACGAAGCGCCGAUGAUGGUGGUGACGGUAGGUACAGAAGAAGCACCGGCCAACUACGUGCCAGCCGCCGCGGUAA